UACGGAGGGUGCAAGCGUUAAUCGGAAUUACUGGGCGUAAAGCGUGCGUAGGCGGUUUAUUAAGUCAGAUGUGAAAGCCCCGGGCUUAACCUGGGAACUGCAUUUGAAACUGGUAAACUAGAGUGUGAUAGAGGGUGGUAGAAUUUCAGGUGUAGCGGUGAAAUGCGUAGAGAUCUGAAGGAAUACCGAUUGCGAAGGCAGUCUACUACGAAUGUACUGACGCUGAUGGACGAAAGCGUGGGUAGCGAACAGG
This 253-nucleotide ribosomal RNA is filed under the name uncultured bacterium. RNAcentral describes it as "partial 16S ribosomal RNA". It matches the Rfam family "Bacterial small subunit ribosomal RNA", at positions 524 to 776 of the family's 1533-position model. The record is from RNAcentral.